This 660-nucleotide ribosomal RNA is filed under the name Triticum aestivum (bread wheat). RNAcentral's name for it is "partial small subunit ribosomal RNA". The record is from RNAcentral. Lineage: Eukaryota; Viridiplantae; Streptophyta; Magnoliopsida; Poales; Poaceae.
AUGCCCGCAACAACUAUGUAUCUCUGCUCAUGGAAUGUUAGGGGCCUAGGUGAUGCGGACAAAUGCAAUGAUGUACUAUCUGAACUCUUAUCUAUCAAACCUAAUCUGCUGCUACUCCAGGAAACUAAGCUUGCCACGUCCUCUGUCCCAAAAGUCAGGUCCUUCCUGCCAACCUCCCUCGACUACUAUGCCACUUCACCUGCCACGGGCACCACUGGGGGCUUGCUCUCUGCUGCCAACACCAGCUCCCUUCGCAUCACAAACCACAUGAAUCAUGGUUUCUGCUCUACUCUCACCUUCACAUCUCUCGCACUCCCUUCCCCCAUCUGUGUUACUAACAUUUACGGCCCCACCAAAAGAGCGGAAAAACCUCUCUUCCUCGCUGAGUUAAAAGCCAUAGCUCCUCCUGAGAACACACCGUGGCUAGUUGUAGGCGAUUUCAACCUGAUCCGCUUCCCCCACGAGAAAAAUAAUGACAACUUUCACCAACGAGAAUCCCGCAUUUUCAGUGACACGCUUGAUGAGCUAGCUCUCCUCGAGCUGCCUCUACUAGAUUGGCAGUUUACUUGGUCCAACAACAGAGAAGCCCCUGUCCUAGAACGGCUCGACCGCGCCUUAUUUAAUUUAGCCUGGAAUCAUGCCUUCCCCACACCUUGUUAA